This 1403-nucleotide long non-coding RNA is filed under the name Homo sapiens (human). Its description in RNAcentral is "HSALNT0294259". The record is from RNAcentral. Lineage: Eukaryota; Metazoa; Chordata; Mammalia; Primates; Hominidae.
GGUGAUUGUUUGGUGCUGAUACAACAUUGACUUUUCCCAUAAUUUAGCUUAGAGUGUUUUACACUGGGGAGUUCCAAUGUGUUUAAAUUGUAAAACUUUUUCCGAGCAUUUUUGUAGCAGAACUCCAUGUUCUAAUAGCCCCGGCAAAGUUGUUUUUAAUACUUUUUCUCUACGAAUUUUCAUUAAAAUUUAAUUCCAUUUUAACUUUGUCAAUUUUCCCCAAAGAUAAAUUAAGACACACAGAGAGAUUGUCAUUUCCUGUUUGAAGUCUCAUUCCUGUGUACAAUGUCAGUCUUUUUUAUUUAGGCCUAUGCCAUUCCAUCAGGGUAAAUAACUUUCUAACUAGUCAUUUAAGAGCAACUCCCGGGAAACUGUGAUGCAAUCCCACAUAUCAGCCAGCAUACUUUGUGCAGAAUGAAUUGUUAAGUGCAUCUAUAGAAAACGAAUGAUUGGUAUUCAGCCAAGCUUUGCCUAUGUCUUUCCAUGACCAAAAACAAGUCAGACUUCAAAAGCUGCCAGAUUAUUGUGAAAGGAGAAACACUGUUUUCGAAGGCUGCUGAUAAUGCCUAUUAGCCAGAAGAAAGAGCCUGAAUCAUUCAAAGGUUUUCCAUCUAGUAAAGAAGUGUGGUAAAAAUCUUGCCCAGAUCUGCAUGUGCUAAGCAUCUACGUAAGUUGGAGCAUCAUAUUAAUGACACCCAGUGAAGAAACGAAAGAAUGAAGUGUAAUUACUAUAUCAAAAAUCCACAGAAUGUGAAAGUAUAAAGGAAAACUCUCAGGUGAGACUCGAUUAUUUUUAUUUCAAAGAUCUAGGUAAAAAUGUGAACAGAUUGGGAGGCUGAGGCAGGAGAAUCACUUGAACCCAGGAGGCAGAAGUUGCAGUGAGCCAAGAUUGCACCAUUGGACUCCAGCCUGGGCAACAGACAAGACUCUAUCUCAAAAAAAAAAUGUGAACAGAUAUAUUGACAUAAAAUUCAUAAAACAUAUGGAUAUACUAAAAACUAGGAAGUCUGGUUGCUUCUGAGGAUAAGAGUUGAGGACCUGUUUCAAGAAUACUUUGCACAGCUUGUACUAUUGCAGUAUUUGAAUUUUUUCUUGUACAUGUAUAACUUUUUUAAAAAGAAUGAGAAAUGCUGUACAAGUGCAACUAUUUUUACUGUAAGUUUUUAUUUCCAUAAAACUAUAAUUAAGUGUGUGGUCAAUAGAUCCUGUUAUAUAGCUAUGAUAUCCCUUGAAUUUGUUUACCUGGUAACACUAGCUCACGUUUGUAAAUCCUUUGGAACUCCCAAAGCGAUUUUACAUACAUUACCUAAUUUGUAAGAUUACAAAACUAUUACAUUAGCUUUUCUGGUUUUCUUGUCUUAAUACGUGAUUAUCAUAUUAAACUGCAGUGUUUUUUUUUUUCC